RNAcentral lists this ribosomal RNA (468 nucleotides) under uncultured bacterium. Its description in RNAcentral is "partial 16S ribosomal RNA". It matches the Rfam family "Bacterial small subunit ribosomal RNA", at positions 28 to 507 of the family's 1533-position model. The record is from RNAcentral.
GACGAACGCUGGCGGCGUGCUUAACACAUGCAAGUCGAACGGAAAGGCCCUGCUUUUGUGGGGUGCUCGAGUGGCGAACGGGUGAGUAACACGUGAGUAACCUGCCCUUGACUUUGGGAUAACUUCAGGAAACUGGGGCUAAUACCGGAUAGGAGCUCCUGCUGCAUGGUGGGGGUUGGAAAGUUUCGGCGGUUGGGGAUGGACUCGCGGCUUAUCAGCUUGUUGGUGGGGUAGUGGCUUACCAAGGCUUUGACGGGUAGCCGGCCUGAGAGGGUGACCGGCCACAUUGGGCCUGAGGUACGGCCCAGACUCCUACGGGGGGCAGCGGUGGGGAGUAUUGCCCAGUGGGCGGAAGCCUGAUGCAGCAACGCCGCGUGCGGGAUGACGGCCUUCGGGUUGUAAACCGCUUUCGCCUGUGACGAAGCGUGAGUGACGGUAAUGGGUGAAGAAGCACCGGCUAACUACGUG